This 300-nucleotide ribosomal RNA is filed under the name Triticum aestivum (bread wheat). RNAcentral describes it as "partial small subunit ribosomal RNA". The record is from RNAcentral. Lineage: Eukaryota; Viridiplantae; Streptophyta; Magnoliopsida; Poales; Poaceae.
AUGGUUGCUUUCACGAGUGCGGUAGACGGCCCUGAAGCAUGCCUGCAUGCAUCUUCGAUGGCGCCGUUUACCACCAUUUUCCUCUUCUUUCCUUUCAGCCUUCCAUUUCAGCCAAGCAUCCCUCGCGCGUGUAUGCGUGCUGACUGGUGUGAGGCAAAAUGGCAUCCCUCGCGCGUGUAUGCGUGUUAUAGGGUUUGUAAUCGUAUUGUUUCUUUCCUUAUUGUUCCUUUUGUUGAGGUAUCUUUGUUUGUGUUGAAUCAAUCAAUCCCCCUUAUUUACCUUCUUUCAUUACAUAUAUAA